AACAAAACCAUGACGGGGAAGAAGGUUGUGUAAAUUGCCCAGCGAGCCGGGGUUUGGUGCAAGCCCGGCCAAGGAAGCAGCCGGGCCGCCCCUGAGUGCAGGCCGAAACAACAGGGUUAACUUUCCUGCCGGUAAGUUAACCGGGAGUAAGCCUUGCCGGUGCUUCGCCGUUACAGAAGUCCGAGUGGGUUGCCGCGGCUGUGCCGCCGGUAACCAAUGAGGGUGGUACCACGGAUGUCAACUCCGUCCCUUUU
Molecule: non-coding RNA, 254 nt
Filed under: Desulforamulus hydrothermalis Lam5 = DSM 18033
Lineage: Bacteria; Bacillati; Bacillota; Clostridia; Eubacteriales; Peptococcaceae
Description: Desulfotomaculum hydrothermale Lam5 = DSM 18033 T-box
Rfam family: T-box leader
About the family: Uncharged tRNA acts as the effector for transcription antitermination of genes in the T-box leader family. T-boxes are found upstream of many aminoacyl-tRNA synthetase genes and some amino acid biosynthetic genes usually in Gram-positive bacteria.
Source: RNAcentral